CAGAGAUCGACGUAUGGGUUAAUUCCUAGGUAUCUACAGGCUAUAAAGAAAUAGGUAAGCAUCCUCCACCCAUUUGGCACGAGCUGUCCAGGGCUCAUAUUAUGCUCGACCAAUAAGGCCACAAAAAAGGGAUGCAGAGGCCAUCGAAAUCCUCCCUUAAGUGAGUCCCUAAAAAUCACGAACUCUCCAUCCCGAGCAAAGGCCAUCCUAUCCUCUACCCCCGGUGUCCUAACGUCGCAUUUGGGCAUGAGCCCAUGCUCCCUAGCCGUCGAUAUUGCUAGAUGUUCCUUAAAUUUACAGGGGACCUCGGGAUACCUAAAUGGGGUCGGGAUACUUUGUGCCCGAGGUUGGGCAUUAAUUGGGACAGCCAUAGGUAUGAUUGAGCCUCCUAUGUCCUCGGGAGUACUCCUCGAGGAUGAUGAGGACGAAGUGUCGCUACUGCUACUACUAGACAUCCUGACCUAGAUAAAAAAUACCUAAAGAAUAACUUAAAAACUCGAGGUCUUACCUUAAAGUCGACGUCUAAAAACUCAAAGUCCGAUCCCGACGAUUAGCGAGAGAAGUUUACUGAGAGUGAAAAGUGAAAAAUGAAAUAAGGGGAGGGUAUUUAUAGGUAACAGGAGCAGGAAGCCCAAAGGUCACUAUCCCGACCGUUAGAUCUGGACACGUGUCCCACAUCUAACCCUAC
This 688-nucleotide long non-coding RNA is filed under the name Olea europaea subsp. europaea. The record is from RNAcentral. Lineage: Eukaryota; Viridiplantae; Streptophyta; Magnoliopsida; Lamiales; Oleaceae.